AAAAACACUCCCUAUCCUCUUCUUCUCCUCUCCUGUAAAACGUUAGCAGUUGCCUCCCUUAUCCUCUCCAACUCCGACCCUAAUAUGUAAUCUCUCUGUGAUUUUCCUUCCAUAUAUGCUGCACCUCUUCGUUACUUACAUCGUAUAGUUUCAAUUAGUACUUGCCUAUUUUGGCAACAACCAGGUCUUCAGUCAAGUAUAAUCAUCCCCAAAUCUUCAAGAUCCAGAUUGUGUUUCGUCUAUAUGCAUUUAUAGUAAAGUUAUACAUGUCCAAUUCAGUGAGAUUCUUUGAUUAUUUUUUCUCUAUAUGGAGCUACGAUUUGCUUGAUUUUUCUCCUAAAUUAAUUAUAAUUCGGUUUUGCAUGCUUUGCUUCCUUGUUUGUGUUUGGUUGACUGUAUUUCCUUAUUUGUGUGAUUAUUUUUACUACUAUAUAAAUCCACAUUUCCCUGUUUCCCCUCAAGACUUAACAACUAUUGCUAAAACUACUGUUACCACUAUUGUUCUCUCACUCUUACACUUUCUAUACUAUUCUUCAUUCUUUGUUGUUGUCAGCUGAAAGCCAAGGCCACCAGAUUCCUCUCUAUCAACCUCCCUAGUGCGAGCACUGCUCAAGGAUCAUUUGAAGCUCCUCUAAAUUCUACGCGCUAGGAUUUGGGUCCUUUGGUUGUUAUUUUUUACUUCUGAUAUUCAAGUUGUCGCUGGCACUUAGUCUUGUCUUUUAUUUUGUUUGUUGAAUCUGCGAACUGGUGAGUAUCUCGAUUCUUGCAAUUCUAUAUUCUUUUGCUUGUAUUCAGUGCUCUGCAUAUCCAUGUCGUUCAAAUUUUGUGAGCCAAUAUAACUUCAACAAUGUGUUAUUUUCAUUGGAAAUUUUACUUGCUUUAUGCUAUUCUGCAGUUCGGAAUCUUGUAGUGUCACAACCUGCCAAGAUUUUUAAACUUCAAUAAAUGCUCAGUUUCAAUAGUUUUGUACUUCUUAAUGUCUGCUCUGUGUUCUGAUUAUUUAUUGUAUAUAUUUUCUCAUGACUUGUCUUAAGAUUCUUGCACUGAAAUUCUUAGGGAAUCAUCACUGAAAUUCUUAGGGAACCAUCUCCUGCCUAAAACCCGUUUCAAUGAACUUCUCAUGAUAAAUCCUUUAUGUGGGCUCUAAAUUUCACCUGCUUACAUGAACCCUAUUGUUGUCGCAGUGUUUUAACCAAACCUGUUGCUUUUUCGUUAAGAACUAUACUUUCAUAUUUGGCCAAUCUUGUAUUCUUUGGUAUUGCUUAUCCUUCUUAUGAAUUUUUUGCUUUGCUGUUUGUUGUGUGUAAUUGCUGUUACCUGACUAUGACUAUGUCUGACCUGCAUGACUUAGACUCUUAGUUUCAAAAACCAUUUUUGGUGAACUAUGUAUCAUGCUCUAUUCUGAACUCAUUUUGGAAAGUUUAGCAUGUUUAUAUCGUAUAUGUCUAGUAUAUUUACCCGUGAACCCCAAAUGUCAUGUCUUUCCAACUCUCUUAAUGUGUUGUUCAUGCUCAACAUGCUAUUACCUACUGAAUGAUUGAACCUGUAGUGUUAGCUUGCCAUAUCAACUUGCAAUGUUGAAAUUAAGCCUUACUGAUUCUCCUAGUUUAUCCUGUCACUCUUGCUUCUAAAAUGCAAAUGCUCUUUCCUGUAAAUCCUGUCAUCUAAUCUCUAUGGGAGUUUCUGUUUUAGUAGGUUCCAGAAUCAUUUAAGUGCUUGCUAUGUGUGGUUCCUCAAUUUAUGUAGUUAAGUUGUUAAUCUGCAAAUUACUGGGUAAGUGGGACUUCCAUUUGGAUUUGGUAUGGGUCCAAGUAUUGGCCUGAGCUAUGCAAUCGAUAAACUCUAAUGUUUGAGUUGAGUUUGGGUCUGGGUCUGCUGCUUGCGUGAGGGAUGAGCCUGCUGAAGGUCGGGCAGUACUGGGUUAUCUCCUCUUGGGCCUGCUCUAUUUAUUGGGCAUGUAGUCAUUUUGAUUCUAUAAUAUUUAAGCUUGUUUUUUUCUUUUUAUCUUCGGGAAUGUAAUAAUAUUUAAACAAAUAAUUGGGGAGUUAGUGAAAUUGGGGAAGCGGGUAUACUUUAAUUUCCACCUAAAUGGGUAGAAACCUGUCCAUAGGAUUUAUGUGCUUUGCCUGUUAUUUGUUUAACAUGCUUUAAUUCUGUACACUAAUAGAAAUCAUGCCUAUAGGAAAUUACACACUUCACUUAACUUGUCUAAUACUACCCUAUCCAAAAGUAUGUUGGUUAGAGUAAUUGCUUUACCCGCUUCUAUGUAUACUUCUAUGUGUUAUUAGAAAACAUGCCUAUAAGAAUCAAAUGUCAAUAACUAUUGUCUUAGUUGUGUCAUUGCAAUAUGAUCACUAGAUAACAUGCCUAUAGGAUGCAAUAAUAUA
Molecule: long non-coding RNA, 2387 nt
Filed under: Nicotiana benthamiana
Lineage: Eukaryota; Viridiplantae; Streptophyta; Magnoliopsida; Solanales; Solanaceae
Description: long non-coding RNA (NBEN_LNC026963)
Source: RNAcentral